AUGAGCGGCAGCAUCCAGACCCAGAAAGGAUCUAGUUUCAGCCUGGCACCUCCCAAGCUGCAAGGAUCCUACCCUAGCCCAGCCCAGCUCUGAGAAACAGGACUUUCCUACAGCCCACCUCAAAGCAUCUUGGUGGACUUCUCCCCAGCAUGAGCUCUCUCUACUUCAGAGAUUGCAAACUGGCAUCCUCUUUUGCCAGUAUUGGGUUUUUAAGUUUUUUGAAGUGAUCACCAGCAUUUAAAAAUCCUAUUUCACAUAAAA
Molecule: non-coding RNA, 261 nt
Filed under: Pongo abelii (Sumatran orangutan)
Lineage: Eukaryota; Metazoa; Chordata; Mammalia; Primates; Hominidae
Source: RNAcentral